This is a long non-coding RNA of Lycium barbarum (goji berry), 832 nucleotides long. RefSeq lists it as uncharacterized. The transcript has 3 exons. The record is from RefSeq and is a predicted model, not a curated record. NCBI's taxonomy places the organism in Eukaryota, Viridiplantae, Streptophyta, Magnoliopsida, Solanales, Solanaceae.
CCAAGUGACAUUUUCGUUUCUUAACAAAGGAUAACAGCAACACGAUUUUUUUUUACAUAUGAAGUGCUCUAUUUUUUUAUCAAUACGUGGGAGUCAAUUUCAAGGAAGCAGAUCAUUUUUUUUCCAAGCUUAACCAAGAACAUGUAUGAAAACAAAUAUGGUUAUUAUCCUGGUAUAGCUGCAAAGAUGAAUUUAGACAUUUAUAGGCAGCAACGUGAUCAUGAAAUUUAGGAGAUCAAAGUGUAAUUUUCGUCAGGAACAACAUACGGUUUGGCGCACCGCUUCAAUCUCAUUAUUUUAUUUUAUCGUGUUGUUGAUUCCGGGCUUUCUUUGAAGGGAAGUAAGGUGGAAGAAGAUUAAAUCUUGGCAUAUAAGGUACAGAUACUCAAUUUGGUGACCCUCCAGCUUAGGACUUCUGCUCAGAGGUUUCGGAGAGCUCCAUUGUUCCGGAGCCUGGAUUACCUUGGUACAGAUACUCGAUUUGGUGAUCCUCCAGCUUAGGACCUCUGCUCAGCUGUUUGGAGAGCUCCAUUGUUUCGGAGCCUAGACUAUUUUGGUACAGAUCUUUUGAUAUAGACUUAUGUAUAUGUCCAGGGGUACGGCGGGGCCCUGUCCCGUCAUAUUUCACUUUUAUACUCUUAGAGGUCUGUAGACAUGUGUGGGUUGUAUAUAGGUUUUGGUCAGCUGUGUCUAUAUGGUUUGCUUUGGAUAUCCCCGUGUAUAGUGGCAGCCUUGUCGGCUUGCGUAUUGUGUUAUUGUUAUGUUGUGGUUAUCCGUGACUCAAGGGGAGACAGGUUUAUGAUAUGUGGCGUUGUAAAUCCUUCGUUUGUUC